UUUCAGUUCCUAUCUGGAACUUUCAUCAGGAUCAAACAUCUUUUGAUCCUGAUGAAAGUUCCAGAUAGGAACU
This 73-nucleotide microRNA precursor is filed under the name Pelobates cultripes (western spadefoot toad). Lineage: Eukaryota; Metazoa; Chordata; Amphibia; Anura; Pelobatidae. The record is from RNAcentral.